This 497-nucleotide ribosomal RNA is filed under the name uncultured bacterium. Its description in RNAcentral is "partial 16S ribosomal RNA". It matches the Rfam family "Bacterial small subunit ribosomal RNA", at positions 28 to 507 of the family's 1533-position model. The record is from RNAcentral.
GAUGAACGCUGGCGGCGUGCCUAAUACAUGCAAGUCGAGCGAACAGAUGAGGAGCUUGCUCCUCUGACGUUAGCGGCGGACGGGUGAGUAACACGUGGAUAACCUACCUAUAAGACUGGGAUAACUUCGGGAAACCGGAGCUAAUACCGGAUAAUAUAUUGAACCGCAUGGUUCAAUAGUGAAAGACGGUUUUGCUGUCACUUAUAGAUGGAUCCGCGCCGCAUUAGCUAGUUGGUAAGGUAACGGCUUACCAAGGCAACGAUGCGUAGCCGACCUGAGAGGGUGAUAGGCCACACUGGAACUGAGACCCGGUCCAGACUCCUACGGGAGGCAGCAGUAGGGAAUCUUCCGCAAUGGGCGAAAGCCUGACGGAGCAACGCCGCGUGAGUGAUGAAGGUCUUCGGAUCGUAAAACUCUGUUAUUAGGGAAGAACAAAUGUGUAAGUAACUAUGCACGUCUUGACGGUACCUAAUCAGAAAGCCACGGCUAACUACGUG